This 388-nucleotide ribosomal RNA is filed under the name uncultured eukaryote. RNAcentral's name for it is "partial 18S ribosomal RNA". It matches the Rfam family "Eukaryotic small subunit ribosomal RNA", at positions 592 to 976 of the family's 1831-position model. The record is from RNAcentral.
CAAUAGCGUAUAUUAAAGUUGUUGCAGUUAAAAAGCUCGUAGUUGGAUUUCUGAUCGAGACAUCAGGUCGGGUCCGAGAGGAUCAUGUACUUUGAUUUUGUUUUGAUCAUCCUUGGGGAGAGCAUUUCUGGCAUUCAGUUGUCGGGAUUGGGAUCCUCAUCGUUUACUGUGAAAAAAUUAGAGUGUUCAAAGCAGGCCUCGGCCUCUGAAUACAUUAGCAUGGAAUAAUAAGAUAGGACUUUGGUGGUCUGUUUUGUUGGUUUGCACGCCAAAGUAAUGAUUAAUAGGGAUAGUUGGGGGUAUUCGUAUUCAAUUGUCAGAGGUGAAAUUCUUGGAUUUAUGGAAGACGAACUACUGCGAAAGCAUUUACCAAGGAUGUUUUCAUUAA